AUUGAACGCUGGCGGAAUGCUUUACACAUGCAAGUCGAACGGCAGCACGGACUUCGGUCUGGUGGCGAGUGGCGAACGGGUGAGUAAUAUAUCGGAACGUGCCCAGUCGUGGGGGAUAACGUAGUGAAAAUUACGCUAAUACCGCAUACGAUCUAUGGAUGAAAGCGGGGGAUCGCAAGACCCCGCGCGAUUGGAGCGGCCGAUAUCAGAUUAGGUAGUUGGUGAGGUAAAGGCCCACCAAGCCAACGAUCUGUAGCUGGUCUGAGAGGACGACCAGCCACACUGGAACUGAGACACGGUCCAGACUCCUACGGGAGGCAGCAGUGGGGAAUUUUGGACAAUGGACGCAAGUCUGAUCCAGCCAUUCCGCGUGCAGGACGAAGGCCUUCGGGUUGUAAACUGCUUUUGUACGGAACGAAAAGGUCUCUAUUAAUACUAGGGGCUCAUGACGGUACCGUAAGAAUAAGCACCGGCUAACUACGUGCCAGCCGCCGCCGUAA
This 500-nucleotide ribosomal RNA is filed under the name uncultured bacterium. RNAcentral's name for it is "partial 16S ribosomal RNA". It matches the Rfam family "Bacterial small subunit ribosomal RNA", at positions 30 to 523 of the family's 1533-position model. The record is from RNAcentral.